RNAcentral lists this ribosomal RNA (469 nucleotides) under uncultured bacterium. Its description in RNAcentral is "bacterial SSU rRNA". It matches the Rfam family "Bacterial small subunit ribosomal RNA", at positions 329 to 794 of the family's 1533-position model. The record is from RNAcentral.
UACCAGACUCCUACGGGAGGCAGCAGUGAGGAAUAUUGGUCAAUGGGCGAGAGCCUGAACCAGCCAAGUCGCGUGAGGGAAGACGGUCCUAUGGAUUGUAAACCUCUUUUGUCGGGGAGCAAAAAGGCCUCGUGAGGCCACAAGCGAGAGUACCCGGAGAAAAAGCAUCGGCUAACUCCGUGCCAGCAGCCGCGGUAAUACGGAGGAUGCGAGCGUUAUCCGGAUUUACUGGGUGUAAAGGGCGUGCAGCCGGGCUGACAAGUCAGAUGUGAAAUCCCGCGGCUCAACCGCGGAACUGCAUUUGAAACUGUCAGUCUUGGGUACCGGAGAGGUCAUCGGAAUUCCUUGUGUAGCGGUGAAAUGCGUAGAUAUAAGGAAGAACACCAGUGGCGAAGGCGGAUGACUGGACGGCAACUGACGGUGAGGCGCGAAAGCGUGGGGAGCAAACAGGAUUAGAUACCCCUGUAUA